GAGCAUGUGGUUUAAUUCGAAGCAACGCGAAGAACCUUACCAGGUCUUGACAUCCUGUGACAACCCUAGAGAUAGGGCUUUCCCUUCGGGGACAGAGUGACAGGUGGUGCAUGGUUGUCGUCAGCUCGUGUCGUGAGAUGUUGGGUUAAGUCCCGCAACGAGCGCAACCCUUGAUCUUAGUUGCCAGCAUUCAGUUGGGCACUCUAAGGUGACUGCCGGUGACAAACCGGAGGAAGGUGGGGAUGACGUCAAAUCAUCAUGCCCCUUAUGACCUGGGCUACACACGUGCUACAAUGGACAGAACAAAGGGCUGCAAGACCGCAAGGUUUAGCCAAUCCCAUAAAUCUGUUCUCAGUUCGGAUCGCAGUCUGCAACUCGACUGCGUGAAGCUGGAAUCGCUAGUAAUCGCGGAUCAGCAUGCCGCGGUGAAUACCUUCCCGGGCCUUGUACACACCGCCCGUCACACCACGAGAGUUUGCAACACCCGAAGUCGGUA
This 496-nucleotide ribosomal RNA is filed under the name Heyndrickxia coagulans. RNAcentral's name for it is "bacterial SSU rRNA". It matches the Rfam family "Bacterial small subunit ribosomal RNA", at positions 935 to 1432 of the family's 1533-position model. The record is from RNAcentral. RNAcentral also lists the same sequence under 3 other names. Lineage: Bacteria; Bacillati; Bacillota; Bacilli; Caryophanales; Bacillaceae.